CCUACGGGUGGCAGCAGUGGGGAAUAUUGCGCAAUGGGCGAAAGCCUGACGCAGCGACGCCGCGUGAGGGAUGAAGGUCUUCGGAUCGUAAACCUCUGUCAGCAGGGAAGAACGGUCACUGUGCUAAUCAGCAGUGUAUGGAUGGUACCUGCAAAGGAAGCACCGGCUAACUCCGUGCCAGCAGCCGCGGUAAUACGGAGGGUGCGAGCGUUAAUCGGAAUUACUGGGCGUAAAGCGCUCGUAGGCGGUAUGGCAAGUAAAGGGUGAAAUCCCCGCGCUCAACGUAGGAACUGCCUUUGAAACUGGCAAACUUGAGUGUGUGAGAGGAUAGUGGAAUUCCAGGUGUAGGAGUG
Molecule: ribosomal RNA, 353 nt
Filed under: uncultured bacterium
Lineage: Bacteria
Description: partial 16S ribosomal RNA
Rfam family: Bacterial small subunit ribosomal RNA
Source: RNAcentral